RNAcentral lists this ribosomal RNA (301 nucleotides) under uncultured bacterium. Its description in RNAcentral is "partial 16S ribosomal RNA". It matches the Rfam family "Bacterial small subunit ribosomal RNA", at positions 509 to 807 of the family's 1533-position model. The record is from RNAcentral.
CAGUAGCCGCGGUAAUACGAACCGUGCGAACGUUAUUCGGAAUCACUGGGCGUAAAGCGUGCGUAGGUGGUGGUUUAAGUCCGUUGUGAAAGCCCUGGGCUCAACCUGGGAAUUGCAGUGGAUACUGGAUCACUAGAGUGUGGUAGAGGAUAGUGGAAUUUCCGGUGUAGCAGUGAAAUGCGUAGAGAUCGGAAGGAACAUCUGUGGCGAAGGCGACUAUCUGGGCCAACACUGACACUGAGGCACGAAAGCGUGGGGAGCAAACAGGAUUAGAUACCCCCGUAGUCCCUGUCUCUUAUAC